Molecule: transfer RNA, 73 nt
Filed under: Sorex araneus (European shrew)
Lineage: Eukaryota; Metazoa; Chordata; Mammalia; Eulipotyphla; Soricidae
Description: tRNA-Tyr (GTA) (tRNA-Tyr-GTA-4-1)
Rfam family: tRNA
About the family: Transfer RNA (tRNA) molecules are approximately 80 nucleotides in length. Their secondary structure includes four short double-helical elements and three loops (D, anti-codon, and T loops).
Source: RNAcentral
CCUUCGAUAGCUCAGUUGGUAUAGCAGAGGACUGUAGAUCCUUAGGUCACUGGUUCGAAUCCGACUUGAAGGA